This 72-nucleotide transfer RNA is filed under the name Loxodonta africana (African savanna elephant). It matches the Rfam family "tRNA". Rfam says of the family: Transfer RNA (tRNA) molecules are approximately 80 nucleotides in length. Their secondary structure includes four short double-helical elements and three loops (D, anti-codon, and T loops). The record is from Rfam by way of RNAcentral. Lineage: Eukaryota; Metazoa; Chordata; Mammalia; Proboscidea; Elephantidae.
ACAAUGGUGAUUGAGUGUUUGAAUCCUUGCCUUACAUGCAGGAGAACCUGGGUUCAAUUCCCAGUCAAUGCA